AAAAAGUCUAAAGCGUCUUGCUGAAAAAUAUUACUUUUCGCUGGUUAAUGUUACUUGAGUGAUCGGUGUAUAGAUCAUCUGAAAACUAUGGCUCGUAUGAACAUGAAGAUAUAGGAAAAGCUUGGUGAAAGAGUUUCCAUUUUAGAGAAAAACAAUCCUGCCGCUAAAUUAACGACGCUCUCACACCUAACAAGUAACAAGACCACACAACACGACACAAUACAGCCCGACGUACAACAGAGAUAAACGUCAAUAACAACAAAAUGGCAAAAGAUACACGAUGCUCAAAAAACAGCUAGUAGACUCCGAACACACCAUGCAACAGCUUGAGCAUCAACGCCCUCGUCCAACCCAGAAGCAGGCCAAAUAAAAGACAUAGUCAAGAAAGCAUCAGUUUUAUUUAUUGUAGAAAGAACGAUUAGCCCCAGCCUCUGCAUCAUUGCCAUGAACACGAGACAUUUGGUGC
Molecule: long non-coding RNA, 466 nt
Filed under: Hordeum vulgare
Lineage: Eukaryota; Viridiplantae; Streptophyta; Magnoliopsida; Poales; Poaceae
Description: long non-coding RNA (HVUL_LNC006365)
Source: RNAcentral